GAUCCUGGCUCAGGAUGAACGCUGGCGGCGUGCUUAACACAUGCAAGUCGAGCGAAGCGAUUUAAGUGAAGUUUUCGGAUGGAUCUUAAAUUGACUGAGCGGCGGACGGGUGAGUAACGCGUGGGUAACCUGCCUCAUACAGGGGGAUAACAGUUGGAAACGGCUGUUAAUACCGCAUAAGCGCACAGUACCGCAUGGUAUGGUGUGAAAAACUCCGGUGGUAUGAGAUGGACCCGCGU
Molecule: ribosomal RNA, 239 nt
Filed under: uncultured bacterium
Lineage: Bacteria
Description: partial 16S ribosomal RNA
Rfam family: Bacterial small subunit ribosomal RNA
Source: RNAcentral